Molecule: ribosomal RNA, 482 nt
Filed under: uncultured organism
Description: bacterial SSU rRNA
Rfam family: Bacterial small subunit ribosomal RNA
Source: RNAcentral
GAUGAACGCUAGCGGCAGGCCUAAUACAUGCAAGUCGAACGGUAACAGGGUAGCAAUACCGCUGACGAGUGGCGCACGGGUGCGUAACGCGUAUGCAACUUACCUUUAACUGGGAGAUAGCCCCUCGAAAGAGGGAUUAAUACCCCAUAGUAUAAUGAAGAAGCAUUUCUUUAUUAUUAAAGCUCAGGCGGUUAAAGAUGGGCAUGCGUUGCAUUAGCUUGUUGGUGAGGUAACGGCUCACCAAGGCUACGAUGCAUAGGGGAUCUGAGAGGACUAACCCCCACACUGGUACUGAGACACGGACCAGACUCCUACGGGAGGCAGCAGUAAGGAAUAUUGGUCAAUGGACGCAAGUCUGAACCAGCCAUGCCGCGUGCAGGAUGACGGCCCUAUGGGUUGUAAACUGCUUUUAUACGGGAAAAAACCCUUGCUCGUGAGCGAGGUUGAUGGUACUGUAAGAAUAAGGAUCGGCUAACUCCGUG